GAGUUUGAUCCUGGCUCAGGACGAACGCUGGCGGCGUGCCUAACACAUGCAAGUCGAACGGAGAAUUUCAAUAAGUUUACUUAGCGAAAUUUUUAGUGGCGGACGGGUGAGUAACGCGUGGGUAACCUACCCAUAAACCCGGGACAACCCUUGGAAACGAGGGCUAAUACCGGAUAAUCUUUGAGCUUGGCAUCAAGCGUUAAGAAAAGGUGGCCUCUGUAUAUGCUACCGAUUAUGGAUGGACCCGCGUCUGAUUAGCUAGUUGGUGGGUAAAGGCCUACCAAGGCGACGAUCAGUAGCCGGCCUGAGAGGGUGAACGGCCACACUGGGACUGAGACACGGCCCAGACUCCUACGGAGGCAGCAGUGGGGAAGUCUUCCGCAAUGGACGAAAGUCUGACGGAGCAACGCCGCGUGUAUGAUGAAGGUCUUUGGAUUGUAAAGUACUGUCUUUGGGGAGAAUGGUGCAUUUGAAAAUAUUGAGUGCAUUUGACGGUACCCAAGGAGGAAGCCCGGCUAACUACGUGCCAGCAGCCG
Molecule: ribosomal RNA, 536 nt
Filed under: uncultured bacterium
Lineage: Bacteria
Description: bacterial SSU rRNA
Rfam family: Bacterial small subunit ribosomal RNA
Source: RNAcentral